Molecule: long non-coding RNA, 774 nt
Filed under: Lathyrus oleraceus (garden pea)
Lineage: Eukaryota; Viridiplantae; Streptophyta; Magnoliopsida; Fabales; Fabaceae
Description: Pisum sativum (pea) long non-coding RNA (PSAT_LNC008277)
Source: RNAcentral
GAUCACCUAUCCUCCUUGACUACUCGGGUGUGUUCUUUCCUCUCUCUUCUCUCUCUUAUUUUAUGUUUGUUUCUUUCAUUGAGGACAAUGCAUAUUUUAAGUGUGGGGGAGGGAAUACUUUAGUUUCUUUGUUUUUGUUCUUUGUUUUGUUUUGUUUUUGUUUUCUUUCUAAAAAAAUUGCAUCUUCUUGAAAGUUUUAGGCUAUAGAUUACUUUGAGUCGAGUUUGCGGAGACUUGAGAAAAAUUCACAAGAUCGGUAUUGUUUUAACACCGUAAGUCUCCUGCAUAUGGAAAUUGAGUUGAAUUUUUAUUAUGUUUUAGCCUUAAAUUCUCAUUCUCUGACAGCUCUUGAGUAGUUUAUUUCAGCAGUCAGCACCAUCUCACACACACUCUACGCAGGGAAGCCGAUGAAUAUAAGUGAGUGUUCCGAAAAAGAAAAAAAAGAGAAAAAAAUAAAGGAAUGCACCUUCUAAGUUUGGUGACCCUCACCCGGUCACUUAACUCAACGGUUGUAGAACCUUCAAAAAAAAAAGUUUUUGACUCGUUGUUAGUUGGUUCAGCGGUUUCUGGUGCUGAACUUGGUAGGGCGGAUUACGGUCCGAUCCCCCGCAACUACAAGUGAGUAAGCAAAGGGUUAUGCCACUUAAGUACCAGAACCCCGUGCAGAAAAGGAUCGGAGUCACUAACCGGUCACCUUGCUAUGAGUGUGUGGAGACAACGGGCUUAAUGUGAUUGCGCCUGAAUGAAAAAGAGCCAAAGAAGGAUGAGUAAGUU